AUGUCACAACUUCCCACGCCCUCGGCACCUUGUACACGCCCUCGGCACCUUGUACCCACCCAAAUGUUCUCGGAAGGUCCCGCCUGCUUUGGAAGCCCCACCAACUUCCCAUUCAACCCCAGUCAUCCCAUCCUUGAGGCAAUAACCUUCUUUGUCCCAGUUUCCCCAUCUCUGACAUACAAAAAGUAUUACCUUGGUGAAGCAGAUGAGUUGGAGGGGAAGCCUGGAGUCAUGGAUGCCAUCAGAAGUACAGCUGAAAAGAUUUUCUUCUCAGUUGGAUAUGGGUGGGAAGGAAAGAAGAGUCAAGAUGACUCCAAUAGCACUGAGAGAAGGAUGGUGGCUCCAUUCACUGAGGUGGAGCCUGUGGGCAGCAGGUUGGCGGGGGUGGAGAUCAGUUCUGAACGUGUUGACUUUCAGAUGAUUAGGCAUCAACCUGAUCUCCAGAACCUCAGUGACAGCCAUCCACUGGAUGGAUCUAUUGGGACCCAGAGCAUCCAUGUCAAUGCCUUUCGAGGUGUGGUCAGCAUCCAAGUCAACAAUGUUUUGAAUGAGUGGGAUGGAAUCUUGGACUACGAGAAUGCCCUUCUGGUGGCUAAGCUGUUUAGCAAGAUGGCCUGUGUCUUAGCCAAGAUGGAUGAAGCUGUCCAAAUUUGGAUGAUAUUAGCAAGGCCCUGGACCACCAGGCUUUAAAGCAUUAUCCAUCCACUCGAGGCCUGACCUACACUGUUUUACCCAGCCGGGUCAAGAACUUAGCCCAGUAUCAAGUGCCCAUCAAGGACGUGUGCCGACAGGUCCCCACCUACUUUGUCCAAGAGCAAAAAGAAGGUACUGCACUGGCUAUUGACCCCAAUUCCUGUUUCGAAGUCCAAAUUCUGUCCUUCCUGAGACUCUCCAUCUGUGGGGAGUUCCCUGGGCUCUGAACCUCCAGGUCGGCCACGUGGAGAGCGGACCUGCCUGGAUGGGACCGCUGACCUGAACCCAGAGCUCAGGGACCCAGCCCACCUCUGCCGAUGGGAAGCGGCUCAUUUCAGGCCUCCACCUUCUACUUUUUGACCCAAGAUCAAGCUCUGUAAUCUAAAAACGGGAUACACUUUCUCCCUCUGGAUUAGAACAAUAAAGUUUCUUGCCUCCCUGGUC
Molecule: non-coding RNA, 1137 nt
Organism: Lipotes vexillifer (Yangtze River dolphin)
Lineage: Eukaryota; Metazoa; Chordata; Mammalia; Artiodactyla; Lipotidae
Source: RefSeq, a predicted model, not a curated record